GUGUCUUAAAGGGCCUCUUCGUCAGAAAAUCUCUGAGAUUUCAGGGCCACACAGAAAUGAAAGCUAUUCACGCGCACAGUAGCUUUCUUCAUCUUGUACUUCUUAUUUAUUUGAAGCCGACAUUUAUCUCUAAUAACAUUACUUGUUGACUUUGCACUUUUCUUGAAUUGAGAAAAAUAUGCUUUAUGGUUUUAUGGUCUCUCAGCCAAAAGAAUAUGUUUAAGCUCCAAGCACAGUGAAUGGAAUACAACAGAAUGGAGGGGACACUAUUAGGCUCAUAGCAUGAGCCUCAAGUUGUGCUUACUUGAGAGGCCUCGUCUCUUUUGAAAGACUGCCUGGCAACAAAUUGCCUACACUGGGAAAAAAGAGGUUCAAGGACAAUGGGCCAAGUUGGAGUGAGGGGGAUACUUCUGAGUAAAUAAAGAUGAUGAUGACUACCAUGCUCACCCGUAUCAUCACCAACACUAUUAUCUUCUGGCCCCGUCUUUAUGGAUUAAUGCUUGAGUUUGGAAGAAUAAUCUAGAAUCCCAACCAUUCUACUAAAAUCUCUGGGAGAUUGAGAAUGAAAGUCAGCUUGAAGAGAUUCAGCAAAGUUGGUGCCAGAAACUGACAGCACGAAGAGAUGAUUCAACUACCCGGAGACUUGAGGCAAAUCCUCUUUUCUUUAUUCGUGAGAUUCACGGAUGGACGAUGGCUCCAUCUUUCAAAGCACACACCUACCAGCAUCUCUUUCACAGAGGGAAUUUAGACAUCUAAAAUCCUCAAGCUCCAGAAACUGGUCAUUGAGAAGAUGGAAAUGGUGCUGCUACAGCCACCUGCAGAGCUGGAGGUAGGCUUGGCUGACAUUACUGCUCACUGUCUGGCCCAUGUGGCCUGUCCUCCAAGCUCCCGGGUCAGAGACUGCAGACAAGAGCCUCCUCAGCCCAGACAUCACGGAGGCCUCUCGCAUCAUCACGGCUGCCAUCCCUGAAAAAAGUGACACGUAUCCCAUCACUACCCCUUCCCACCAUAGCCCACUUGGCCUCACCUCCCAAUAAGCCACAUGACUUUGGGGGAAAAAAACUCAAAAAAUAAAAUUAAAAAAUUCCUGGUCUCUCCUGCCUCUGGGCCACUCCUGUACCUGACCACCAGAAGGUCAGAAACCAGAAUCUCAAGUCAUGAAUCUAGACAUGCUGGACAAAUGGGAAACUGAUGAAAAGAAAAGAAGUGGAAAUGCAGGCUGAAAGCAGUAUUAAGAUGGAGGGAGGUGGUGUACAAUAUAUUAUGUGAACUCAGGGUGUCUACCAUCAGGCUAGUGUAAAGUACAUUUCGCCCAGGUUUACUAAGCUUCAGGCACAUUCAUAAUUCAGCUGUAUGGGGGCAAAAGGCAGCCAAACAGUGUCUGAGUGGUAAGAAAUGGCCUACAGAUGAGAAAUUGUGAAUAAUUCAUAUGUUUUAAGAUCAUCUAUGUGAUUUAAUGUGAGAUGUUAAUGGUAUAAACAAUUAACAAAGUAAUUUAUUGAAGUGAUAUUCAGACUUGUUUUCCACUUCUAUGGAUUCUUAUUUCAAUUAUUCUUAUUUAAAGAAGAUAAAAUAUACAUUGGCAGUAAUUGAUAUUGGGUAUAAAUUUCCUGCAAUAUAUUUUAAUUUCACAUCCUUGUCUUUGUAAUAACAGCAAUUCAGAUCCAAUGAACAUUUUUGUCUAUGCACCAUUGCAUUAAAUGCAUUCAGUUUUACCCAAAUUAAAAAAAUAUUUUUAUAAUGAGCUAUAUAAAUGCCUGAGUUAGAAAAUGUACUCAUUUGUAAUUAGAUGACUAGAUAUUAACUGCUGUCUUUAUAUGUGCACAUAUAUAAAUAAACACAUGAAGAUAGGAGGAAUUGUAUAGUCUACAUAGCUUUUAUAUUUAAAUGUAUUAUAGAUCUAAUAUAUUAUACUCUUGCAGAAAACCUAAGACCAACUAUGCGAGCCAUUACAAUCCAAGUCUUGUGCAUGUCUCCAAACUCCCCUCAUACUGCUCUUCCAUUUGUUGCCAACC
This is a long non-coding RNA of Equus caballus (horse), 2015 nucleotides long. The record is from Ensembl. NCBI's taxonomy places the organism in Eukaryota, Metazoa, Chordata, Mammalia, Perissodactyla, Equidae.